AACGCUAGCGGCAGGCCUAACACAUGCAAGUCGAGGGGUAACAGAGAGAAGCUUGCUUUUCUGCUGACGACCGGCGCACGGGUGCGUAACGCGUAUACAAUCUGCCUUAUACAGAGGGAUAGCCUUUAGAAAUGAAGAUUAAUACCUUAUAGUCUAUUUUUAUAGCAUUAUAUAAAUAGUAAAGCUUCGGUGGUAUAAGAUGAGUAUGCGUCCUAUUAGUUAGUUGGUAAGGUAACGGCUUACCAAGACAACGAUAGGUAGGGGCCCUGAGAGGGGGAUCCCCCACACUGGUACUGAGACACGGACCAGACUCCUACGGGAGGCAGCAGUGAGGAAUAUUGGACAAUGGAGGCAACUCUGAUCCAGCCAUGCCGCGUGCAGGAUGACGGCCCUAUGGGUUGUAAACUGCUUUUAUAUAGGAAGAAACCUUUUCACGUGUGAGAAGCUGACGGUACUAUAAGAAUAAGGACCGGCUAA
Molecule: ribosomal RNA, 477 nt
Filed under: uncultured bacterium
Lineage: Bacteria
Description: bacterial SSU rRNA
Rfam family: Bacterial small subunit ribosomal RNA
Source: RNAcentral